Molecule: ribosomal RNA, 423 nt
Filed under: Turbinella rapa
Lineage: Eukaryota; Metazoa; Mollusca; Gastropoda; Neogastropoda; Turbinellidae
Description: partial 12S ribosomal RNA
Source: RNAcentral
UAGAUACCCCACUUUUUUUUGGCCCCAAAUGUAACUCGAGCUUACCAAAGAACUAUGAAUACUAAGUUUAAAACUCAAAGGGCUUGGCCGGUGUUUCAGCCCACUUAGGGGAACCUGUCUCAUAAUCGAUAAUCCCCGAUACACCUAACCUCUUUUUGCUUCCCAGUUUGUAUACCGUCGUCGUCAGGUAACUUUUAAGAAAUCGGAGGGUUAGCUAAAACGUUAAAUGUAAACUUAAACGUCAGGUCAAGGUGCAGCCAAUAAGGGAGGAGAAGAUGGGUUACAAUUAUUUUACUUUUAAUACGGGGAAGCGUGGUUUUUUUCCCACAUAGCUAAGAAGGAAGGAGGACUUAAAAGUAAAAUUAAUUAUUUUUCCCUUAUAUUUAAUUUUGGUCUGAAAAAUGGUACACACCCCCUCCCCCC